This 448-nucleotide long non-coding RNA is filed under the name Salmo salar (Atlantic salmon). RNAcentral's name for it is "lncRNA (ENSSSAG00000121968.1)". The record is from RNAcentral. Lineage: Eukaryota; Metazoa; Chordata; Actinopteri; Salmoniformes; Salmonidae.
AAACCAUCUGCCUCUCGUGUCUGCAUCUGGGUCUCGCCCUGUGCCCUUAUAUCAAGAGCCAACAGGACCUGAGCCCUAGGACCAUGCCUCAGGACUACCUGGCUUGAUGACUCCUUGCUGUCCCCAGUUCACCUGGCCGUGCUGCUGCUCCAGUUCCAACUGUUCUGCCUGCAGCUAUGGAACCCUGACCUGUUCACCGGACGUGCUACCUGUCCCAGACCUGCUGUCCCAGACCUGCUGGAACCCUGACCUAUUCACCGGAUGUGCUACCUGUCCCAGACCUGCUGUUUUCAACUCUCUAGAGACAGCAGGAGCGGUAGAGAUACUGUCAAAGAUCGGCUAUGAAAAAGCCAACUGACACUUACUCUUGUGUUACUGACUUGUUGCACCCUCGACAACUACUAUGAUUAUUAUUAUUUGACCAUGCUGGUCAUUUAUGAAGAUUUGA